CCGACGGUGAGGGGUGAAAGCCAGGGGAGCAAAGGGGAUUAGAUACCCCCGUAGUCCUGGCUGUAAACGAUGCGGGCUAGGUGUUGGGUUGGCUUCGUGCCAACCCGGUGCCGCAGUGAAGACGAUAAGCCCGCCGCCUGGGAAGUACGGCUGCAAGGCUGAAACUUAAAGGAAUUGGCGGGGGAGCACCACAAGGGGUGAAGCCUGCGGUUUAAUUGGAGUCAACGCCGGGAAUCUUACCGGGAGCGACAGCAAGAUGAAGGCCAAGCUGACGACUUUGCUAGAUGGGCUGAGAGGAGGUGCAUGGCCGUCGCCAGUUCGUGCCGUGAGGUGUCCGGUUAAGUCCGGCAACGAACGAGACCCCCAUCCUCUGUUGCUAGCCUGCUUCUACGGAGGUAGGCGCACACGGAGGAGACUGCCAGUGUUAAACUGGAGGAGGGAGGGGGCUACGGCAGGUCAGCAUGCCCCGAAUCUCCCGGGCCACACGCGGGCUGCAAUGGUGAGGACAGCGGGUUCCGACCCCGAAAGGGGAAGGUAAUCCCUUAAACCUCGCCGUAGUUGGGACUGAGGGCUGUAACCCGCCCUCAUGAACAUGGAAUCCCUAGUAACCGCAUGUCACCAUCGUGCGGUGAAUACGUCCCCGCUCCUUGCACACACCGCCCGUA
Molecule: ribosomal RNA, 665 nt
Filed under: uncultured archaeon
Lineage: Archaea
Description: bacterial SSU rRNA
Rfam family: Archaeal small subunit ribosomal RNA
Source: RNAcentral